Molecule: ribosomal RNA, 424 nt
Filed under: uncultured Clostridium sp.
Lineage: Bacteria; Bacillati; Bacillota; Clostridia; Eubacteriales; Clostridiaceae
Description: bacterial SSU rRNA
Rfam family: Bacterial small subunit ribosomal RNA
Source: RNAcentral
UGGGGGAUAUUGCACAAUGGGGGAAACCCUGAUGCAGCGACGCCGCGUGAGGGAAGACGGUCCUCUGGAUUGUAAACCUCUGUCUUCGGGGACGAAACGAGACGGUACCCGAGGAGGAAGCCACGGCUAACUACGUGCCAGCAGCCGCGGUAAUACGUAGGGGGCAAGCGUUAUCCGGAUUUACUGGGUGUAAAGGGAGCGUAGACGGCGAAGCAAGUCUGAAGUGAAAACCCAGGGCUCAACCCUGGGACUGCUUUGGAAACUGUUUUGCUAGAGUGUCGGAGAGGUAAGUGGAAUUCCUAGUGUAGCGGUGAAAUGCGUAGAUAUUAGGAGGAACACCAGUGGCGAAGGCGGCUUACUGGACGAUAACUGACGUUGAGGCUCGAAAGCGUGGGGAGCAAACAGGAUUAGAUACCCUGGUAGU